UAUGGACUUGAUGCUUUAAAUAUUCCUGGGGCUAUAGCUUUAACUUUAUUUGUCCAGCAAUCUUUUGGAUCCUUCCUCAAUUAAUUGAAGUCAAUAUUCUAGCAAAGUUUCAUUCACCUUUUUGCUUUAUAAUAAUUUACCAGUGAAAAGGAAAUUGCAGGUAUUUGCUAUUAUUUUAGUUCUGCAUUUUUAUGAGGAUUUGUUUUCAUGAUUUCCUUUUUUUGCCUUGGGGGAGCAAGCUGAAUUGAGUGUUGACAGUAAAGAGUUCUGAAUGUUUUAAGUCUUGUUAAUGAUAAAUUGAGUGUACAAUAUAUACUGGCUAUAAGAUAAUGAUAAGUAUGAAAUGUACAAGCUAAGGACUGGUACAAGAGAUGGAUAAAGAUCAAUAUGAAAUUGGUUAACAGAUUGGGAUAAACAUUCUCUCUCUAUUUCGCCCCUGCAAUUUGAGUGUUGAACUGGUCGAAUUGUUAAUCUUGCCUGAAUAUCAGCAUGUCUGGAGCUCGGUAAAGCUUUUUGAGGAUAUCUGCAAGUUGGUCACGGGAUGAAACAAAUUUAACUUGAAGCUCUUUCUUAGUGACUUUAUCCCGAACAAAGUGGAACUCCACUUCUACAUUUUUCGUUCUGGCAUGGAAGAUUGGGUUUGCAGAUAGAUAGGUAGCACCAAUAUUGUUACACCACAGCACAGGAGUAGAUAUAAAAGGCAUGGCAAUUUCUCGAAGAAGAGAUUCUAACCAAUUUAAUUCAGUUGUAGCAGCCCCAAUUGCCUUGUAUUCAGCUUCCAUGGAGGAUUUAGCCACAGUUCUUUGAUUUUUGGAGUUCCAUGAAAUAUGGUUUUGGAGCCAAGGAAGAUGGAAUGCCCAGAUGUAGAUUUACGGUCAGUACUGUCACUUGCCCAAUAUGCAUCUCUAUAAGUGAUUUAACUUAUGGACAUGAUUCGGCUUUUCUGGAUCCUGGAAUCCGGGUGGUGGUUCCAUAAAAACAUUGUCUUCUAAGUCACCAUGAAGAAAAGCGUUCGAGACAUCUAAUUGACAAAUGUCCCAAUCUUUGGAGAUUGCAAUUGAAAAAAUGAGCCUAAUUGUUGCUGGUUUAACAACAGGGGAAAAGGUUUCUGUGAAAUCCAGCCCUGGCCGCUCUUGAUAACCCUUUGCCAUAAGAUGUGCUUUAUAGCGCUCAACUAACCCAUUGGAUCGCUGUUUAAUUCAAAAAACUCACUUACAUCCAACCACAUUCUAAGCAGUAGAACGAGGUACUAAUGUCCACAUCCCUAUCUGAAUCAAAGCAUUGACUUCGUCCAUCAUGGCCGCACGCCAUGUCGAAUCUCAUACUGCUUGUGAAUGGCAAGUAGGAACACUGAGUUGAUAUGAUGAAAUGGUUGCCAAAAAUUUCUUGGGCUUUAAGUUGCCCGUCUGAGAUUUGGUCACCAUUUUGUGAAGGCAUUCAGGUUGAGGUUCGAUGCAGGUGUAGGUGGUUCAUGCGAAGUAGGGAAAUUUGGGUCUAAGUCUGUGGAGUUGGUGACUACUAGAUGAAUACCUUUAUUGGUUGGUGGAAUUGAUUUUGCAAUGGGAGAUCUGGUGAGAGCAAGCAUUAUUGAGUGUGUUUGGUGUGAUUGGUAGUAGGGCAAUAUGGUGAGGAAAAAGAGACGUGGUUAGAAUUGAAGCAUGUGAGUGGAAUACUUCGUGGGCUUGGAGUGGAUGAUGGAUGUGGGCCUAACAAACCUUGCCAUGUGUGAUUUGGAGCAUUAUUGGGACAAUGGUCUAGUAUCAAUGGGUGUGUGGGUGAAGUAGUGACAGGACCUUGCAAAAUCAAACUUGGAUUCCGUAGUGCCAAAUUAUCAUUCUGGAGAAGUGGAAAAUCCUGUUCAAAGAAAAGAACAUGACGUGAAAUGUAAAUUUUGCCAGUUAAAAAUUCCAAGCAUUGAUAACCUUUAUUAGAUUUGUUGUAACCCAAAAAUACACAUUUACUAGAGUGUGGGAAUAGUUUAUGUUUGGAGUAUGGUUUUAACCAAGGAUAGUAAAGGGAUUCAAAAAACAUAAAGUUCAGUGUAAUCAGGCGGUGUUUUGAAAAGAAUUUUAUAUGUGUUUUAGGACUAAUUUUGAUUGAAGGGAUUCUAUUGAUUGUGUUAAACACUUGUUUGAAAUGCAUAAGUCUAAUAUUGUAGUGGAACAUUUGCAUGGUGUAACAUGGUCCUACCUGUCUCAAAGAUAUGACUGUGUUUGCAUUUUGCACAACUAUUUUGUUUAGGUGUGUGCGGACAUGAGAUUCUUUGAGUGAUGCCAUUAUCUCGUAAAUAAUUGGUUAAGGCUUGAAAUUGCCCAUCACGAUCUGCUUGGAAUUGUUUAAUUGGCAAACCAAAAUGUUUUUUGACAAGAGUGUAGAAUUGGAUAAAAACAGUGAGUACAUCAGAUUUAUGUUUCAAAAAAUAAGUCUAAUUAUACUUACUGUAGUGAUAAAAAAAAAAAAGGCACAUAAUAUUGAAAACCAUUAACAGAUUCGACAGGAGCAGGGCCCCAAACGUUAGAACAAAUUAACUCAAAAGGUUGAUUAACACUGGAAUAAGAAACAGAAAAUUUAUGCAUCUUGCUGAUAUUGCAUGCAUGACACGGACUGGAAGACUUGAAUUUAUUACAAGAAAGUUUAUUAUGACUAACUAAACAAGAAUUAGCAUGGCCCAGAUGGGCAUGCAAUGUGGCCAAAGGUGCAACAAGAGCUUCUAGACGAAGAGAAGUAGAAAUCUGAAGAGGUAUCCUUCACAAGAAAACAAUCAGGGUAAAACUCAACAGAUGCAUUAUUAUUUGUAGUAAACGAAUGAAUAGAAAGAAGAUUUUGAUGGAAAGAAAGAGAGCAAAGAAUAUUGUUCAAUUGAAAUGUCAAAUUGUGAGCAUGAGUAGUAGAUGAACCAACAUGAGAAAUAGGAAGUGUUUUACCAUUGCCUAUCACAAUUUCAUUAGUUCCAUGAUAAGGAGCAAAGGAUGUAAGAUUUCUAUUGUCAGCCGUCAUUUGGAAAUUAGUGUUGGAAUCCAAAUUCCAAUUCUGGGCAGGUGUAGUAUUGGUGGAAGCAAAGCUGAAAACUGGCCUUGUAGAGUUAGACCGGCGUGGUGUUGGGCAUUGCUUGGCAAGAUAGCCAUUGCCAUUGCAGUUGUGGCAAAUGAUAUGACUGGGAACACGGGCGUUGAUAGAAGUGUAGGACUGAUUGUGGCAACCUCAACCUCUGUUGGAAUGUCCUCCUUUAGUUGACUAAUUGGAGGGACGUGCGGCAUAAUGUGCAGUUGGAGUAACAGAUGAUUCCAUAGAUAAAUUUUUCAUUUUUAGUUGGGCUUCCCCACUCAAGAGCAAAGCAUAAAGGUCAUUAUAAGAGAUGGGCAUAUGUUAAAGAUUAGAUCUGAAUUAAUCUCUGAAAUAGAGAUUAAAGCAGAAUUUUAGAAGAUUGGGUGAGAAGAGAAUAGAGAUUGGAUGAGAAUAGAGUAGAAAAAUAUUGAAGAAGAGAGAAAAUAUUUCUGUUAUUGAUUCUUGAAUGCAUGAAUACAGGAAAAGACUUCCCUUUUAUACAAGAGAAGUGUAACUGCUUGUAUCUGCAAAACUUUUUUUGGAGUCACUAUCACUGUAUCAUCCUGGAAAAGAGGUAGAUCUUGAACAAUCAUAGUAUUGUCGCCAACCUUUUUCUUUGAUAACGAAACAUGGAACACAGGAUGUACAGUGGAAUUAGGGAGUAGUUUCAGUUUGUAAGCCACAAUACCAACUUUAGCUUCCACCUGAAAAGGCCCAUAAUACCUUGCUGCCAGCUUGAAGUUUUUCCUUAAGGCUAUAGAACUCUGCUUGUAGGGUUGUAAUUUAAGAUACACCCAAUCCCCCACUUCAAAAAUUCUUUCAGACCUCUUUUUAUUAGCAUAUUGCUUCAUUCUAUUCUGCGCUGCUAGCAAGUUAUCUCUAAUAAGCUGAGACAUAUGCUGUCUAUCUUGCACAAAAUCAGUCACUGCACCUACUGAAGCAUUCUCAAGAGGCAGAAAAGUCAAUGGAGCUGGCUUGUAACCAUAUAAAGCUUCAAAUGGAGACAGUUUCAAGGCACUAUGAUAGCUAGUGUUAUACCACCAUUCAGCUAAAGGAAGCCAUUUAACCCAUGAAUGAGGUGCUUGAUAACAAAGACACCUCAAAUACCCUUCCAUACUCUGAUUUAAUCUCUCAGAUUGGCCAUCUGACUGAGGGUGAUAGGCUGUACUAUAAGCAAGCUUAGUCCCCAUCAUUUUAAACAAAUCUUUCCAGAAUAAACUUGUAAAAAUCUUGUCUCUAUCAGUGAUAAUAGAAACAGGAAGGCCAUGGAGCUUAAAAAUAGUAUCUAAAAACAAUUUAGCAACAGUUGAAGCUGUGAAAGGAUGUUGUAAUGGAAUGAAGUGCCCAUACUUUGUAAAUCUACAAAUCAUCACCAGAAUAGUAUCCUUGCCUUGAGAUUUUGGUAGUUGCUCCACAAAAUCCAUUGUAACAUGCUGCCAUGCCUGAGUUGGAAUAGGUAAAGGUUGUAAAGGCCCUGGAGAGGCACAUGUUUCUGUUUUACACUGAGCACAAGUAUCACAGCUUUUAAUCCAGUCCACCAUUGAUUUCAACAUACCAGGCCAGUAAAAAUGUCUGCUCAACCUCACAAAAGUAGCAUUAAUUCCAGAAUGACCACCUAGGUGAGAAUUAUGGUAAAUAACUAACAAAUGCUCUCUCAAAUUACCAUUGCUGCCCACAUACAACCUAUCCUUAUGGAAUAACAAUCCAUUUUUAUAGGAAUAACCAGAGUGGCCUUGCUCAUCUAUUGACAAAUGAGAGAUGAAUUCAGCAGCUUUGACAUCCCCUUCAUAGCUAUGAAUCAAUUGUGCCAUCCAAGUAGGCUGCAAUGAAGAGUGUAAAGCAUAAAGUUGACCAUCCACAGUAGGUUUCCUUGAUAAGGCAUCAGCAGCUUUGUUUUCAACCCCCUUUCUAUAUGUAAUUUUAUAUUGCAGCCCCAAUAAUUUUAAAACACCCUUCAAUUGCAAAUUAGUGUGCAACCUUUGCUCCAAUAAAUGUUUGAUACUCUCAUGGUCAGUCUUAAUAAAGAAUGGCCCUUGCUCUAGGUAAUGUCUCCAUUUAGAGACAGCAAAGGUAAUGGCUAGCAACUCUCUCUCAUAGACUGACAGUGAUUUAGUUCUUGGGCCAAAAGCCUUAGAGAUAAAGGCUAUAGGAUGUCCAUUCUGCUGUAAAACUGCCCCCAUACCUGUCCCACUAGCAUCAGUUUCAACAAUGAAAGGUUUAUUGAAAUCUGGAAGUGCUAGAACUGGAGCUUGAGACAUGGCUAUUCUGAGAUGAUCAAAUGCUCUUUGAGCUGUCUCACCCCACUGAAAAGCAUCUUUCUUAAGGAUGUCAGUGAGUGGUUUACUAAUAAUACCAUAGUGUUGAACAAAUUUUCUGUAAUACCCAGUUAAUCCCAAAAAACUCCUCAACUCUUUGAUUGAAGUUGGUAUUGGCCAAGACAAAACAGCUUUAAUCUUGGUAGGGUCUGUUGCUACCCCUUCCCCUGAUAUAAUAUGGCCUAAAUAAUCAAUUUCAGCCUUGCCAAAUGAACAUUUACUUAGUUUUGCAAACAAUUGUUGCUGUUGCAAAACUUGAAAGACUAAUUUCAAAUGGUGUAAAUGUUGUUCCCAAGAUGAGCUAUAGAUCAAAAUAUCAUAAAAAAACACUAAUAUAAACUUCCUCAAAUAAGGCUGGAAGAUGUGGUUCAUGAGUGCUUGAAAUGUUGCAGGGGCAUUUGUUAGCCCAAAGGGCAUGACAGUAAAUUCAUAAUGCCCAUGAUGUGUUCUAAAAGCUAUUUUGUGAAUAUCAGAAGGAGUCAUCCUAAUCUGAUGGUAUCCAGCUUUUAAAUCAAUCUUAGAAAAAAUUGAAGCACCAUGAAGCUCAUCUAGAAGAUCAUCUAUAAUAGGAAUUGGGAACUUGUCUUUAAUAGUAAGAUCAUUCAACUUCCUGUAGUCAAUGCAAAAUCUCCAAGAGCCAUCUCUCUUCUUGACAAGUAGUACUGGAGAAGAAUAUGGACUGGUGUUAGGUUGAAUGACCUCAUUUUGUAACAUUUCAUCCACAAGUUUCUCUAUUUCUGUCUUCUGAAAAUGUGGGUACCCAUAAGGCGUGAUAUUGACAGGUAAUGCUGAAGGUACCAAGGGAAUUGAAUGGUUGUGACUUCUGAAAGGUGGCAGGCCUUUUGGAUCCUCAAAAAUCGCAUGAUACUCAUCCAAUAAUGACUGCAAUUCAACUGAAUAAGGACUUGAGGGUGCUGCAGUACCUUGAAAUGCAACAGAAUUACUUGAGAAUGCUACAGUAUUUGGAAUUACUAAAGAAUGUGACUCAGAAACUUGUAUGCAAAACAAGGGAGUUUGAAAAUCCUUCCCCUGCUUGUGUAAAAGCUGUUGACAACUCAUACAAUUCAGUAACUUACAGUGAGAACCCAAAUCACCAAUUCCCUGUAAAGUUACUGACUUCCCAUCCUUCUUAAAACUGAUUUUUGAAUUCUGAAAAUCAAACAGAAUGGGAUUACAUGUUUUCAUUCAGUUAACUCCCAAAAUCAUAUCAAAACUUCCCAUUUCCAACAACCUCAAGUCAAAAUUGAAAGAGUAUUGCUGAAUCUUCCAGCUAAAUGCAGGGCACACACUAUUGCUUGCAAUUUUUCUGCCAUCUGCUACUGUAACAGAUAUUGCAGGGACUUUCACCAAUGGAAUCUUCAAUUCACUUGCUACUUUGGCAUCCAAAAAACUGUGAGUACUACCACUGUCUACAAGAAUCAGUAGCUCCCUAUUUUGAUGCAUUCCAAUGACCCUUAUAGUUUCAGCUUCUUGAAUUCCCUCAAUAGCAUGGACUGACAGAGUUACUGCCCCUGCACUAUCAGGGAAAUAUUUUUCUCCACAUUUAAAGCAAGGUUUGGGCUGUCUGAUGGAGUUAGAAGCAUUGGAGCUGGUAAAAUUGGGUUUAAUAGCUGGUUGGUUGACAGAAGAUUGACUAGUGGACAUUGAACAACUGCUUGAUGAUCAAAGAUUGACUUGGCUCUUUUCAUAUGGUCCUCCACAGAAGUUGUGCCCUUCUUAAGGUGUUUUAACUGCUUACAGAGCUGCAUUACUUGUGUUCUUUAACCUGUAGAAAAAAUGGCCUUAAGCUUUUGCCUGGCAUCCUGCUGUGGAAGAGGUGAUAACUCGGGUCUGGAGAUUUUCAGAGAUGGAACAGAACAUCCAGCUUAGGACCAAUUGGUCUUGACGGUACCAAGCUUCAUAUGCUGGAUUGGGAGUGUUGUCAGCUAGGAGAGCUGGUGGUGGUGUGGUAGUCAAAGCAAUAUGAGAAGCGAGAUUAUAUCCAUUGUGAAUGGGAAGAAGCUGAGAUUUCCACAGGAGAUAGUUUGAGGAAUUCAAUUUGAUUGGUAAAAUGCUGAUUGACGUAGGGAAUAGAAAAAGAGAUUGGGGAAGUGGAUGAGCUGGAGAUCAAUGCUUGAGAGGAGUCGAUUUUCGAAAAACAACUGGCUGUGGAGCUGAUUUGGCUUUGAUAUCAUAAAGAGUUCUGAAUGUUUCAAGUCUUGUUAAUGAUAAAUUGAAUGUACAAUAUAUACUGGUCACAAGAUAAUGAUAAGUAUGAAAUUUACAAGCUAAGGAUUGGCGCAACAGAUAGAUAAAGAUCAAUAUGAAAUUGGUUAAUAGAUUGGGAUAAACAUUAUCUCUCUGUUAGACAGCCCAUUGGGUGUUAUGCUAAUGUAGUGUUUAAAUGGAUUUGGCGAAUUCUUUAAUGCUUGUUUUCUUCCCAUCAAGUGCUUGUGCAAUUUCAUUUCCUAGAAUACGUUAUAUUUUUCAUUUUUACUUCAUU
Molecule: long non-coding RNA, 7842 nt
Organism: Hevea brasiliensis (rubber tree)
Lineage: Eukaryota; Viridiplantae; Streptophyta; Magnoliopsida; Malpighiales; Euphorbiaceae
Exons: 3
Source: RefSeq, a predicted model, not a curated record